This is a transfer RNA of Coniochaeta ligniaria NRRL 30616, 88 nucleotides long. It matches the Rfam family "tRNA". Rfam says of the family: Transfer RNA (tRNA) molecules are approximately 80 nucleotides in length. Their secondary structure includes four short double-helical elements and three loops (D, anti-codon, and T loops). Further hydrogen bonds mediate the characteristic L-shaped molecular structure. tRNAs have two regions of fundamental functional importance: the anti-codon, which is responsible for specific mRNA codon recognition, and the 3' end, to which the tRNAs corresponding amino acid is attached (by aminoacyl-tRNA synthetases). tRNAs cope with the degeneracy of the genetic code in two manners: having more than one tRNA (with a specific anti-codon) for a particular amino acid; and 'wobble' base-pairing, i.e. permitting non-standard base-pairing at the 3rd anti-codon position. The record is from Rfam. Lineage: Eukaryota; Fungi; Ascomycota; Sordariomycetes; Coniochaetales; Coniochaetaceae.
GGCCGCGUGGCCUAAUGGCUAAGGCGCCAGAUUUCGGUUAAGAAAUCACAAUCUCUGGAGAUUGCAGGUUCGACUCCUGCCGCGGUCG